Armigeres subalbatus is the source of this 542-nucleotide long non-coding RNA. RefSeq lists it as uncharacterized. Lineage: Eukaryota; Metazoa; Arthropoda; Insecta; Diptera; Culicidae. The transcript has 3 exons. The record is from RefSeq and is a predicted model, not a curated record.
GUUUUGUUUAUAAUUAGUGAAGAGAUGAAAAUAAUAAGACUGUAUGGUGCAGAAAGUGUCUUUUUCAUUACAGUUUCUGCUGCUGGGCAAGCGGUAGAUCACUAUAUGCCUUCUGUACCGUGAAAUGAAGCUUAUGAUAAAUAAAAUACUGCUGCUUGCUGUUCACUGAUUCAAGGUCGUUCAGUGGCUACCAUUGGCCAAUCUCACCAACGGGAUAUAAUAAGAACUGAUGAAGGUUUAUAUCUAUAUAUGUCAACUUUGGAAGUAGUGCGCUGGAUUCGCCCAAAGAUAUGCUAAACAACGCAUCAAUUAGUUUGACAGAAAAAAAUCGGUUCGAAGGUCCAGGAUUCUAAUUUGGUGUUACGCCGACAAUGUGUGUUCAAAAAUUCUUCUUCUUCUCUAUUAGCAACAGUUACGGCGUGUUUGGCGAGUAUAGCGGGCUGCGUCACUUUCAGCGUUUAUGCACCCGUAGCCAAGUAACAGCAAUGCAAGUUAAAAUGAGUUAAAAUUAAGUUUUAACUGAAUUAAAAUUAAUUUGAAAA